AACCCCGUCUCUACUAAAAAUACAAAAAUUGAGGCCAGGUGCAGUGGCUCAUGCCUGUAAUCACAGCACUUUGGGAAGGUGAGGCUGGUCUCAAUCUCCUGACCUCGGGAUCCAUCUGCCUGGUCCUCCCAAAGUGCUGGGAUUACAGGCGUGAGUCACCGUGCCCGGCGAGAAGCAACUCUUAAAAUACUUUAUUCCUUCCUCUAGGACCCUUUAAAUGGUGAAAAUGGGCAGAUGAAUAGCAAUAAGUGGACCUUUGUUACUCUUCUGAGUUAGAAAAAUUCUAAUUUAGUACACUCUGAACAAAGCUUAUUAUACUUACUUAAGAUGUGUUUUGAUUUGGUGUUCAGAAAGCAACCUGACAAUGAUAAUACUGUAACUAUGAUAAAAUUGAGAAUAAAAAGAUUUUAUUUAGAAA
Molecule: long non-coding RNA, 418 nt
Filed under: Homo sapiens (human)
Lineage: Eukaryota; Metazoa; Chordata; Mammalia; Primates; Hominidae
Description: non-protein coding lnc-NSD3-5:2
Source: RNAcentral